AAACAUGGCUCUUUGUAUUUUAUCUUAUAAAGAGUCAGGCCUGCCCAGUGAAUAAUUUAACGGCCGCGGUACUCUGACCGUGCAAAGGUAGCAUAAUCAUUUGCCUUAUAAUUGAAGGCUAGUAUGAAUGGUUUAACGAAAGCAACACUGUCUCCUUUUUAUUUUCAAGAACUUAACCUUUAGGUGAAGAGGCCUAAAUUUAAUUGAAGGACAAGAAGACCCUGUCGAGCUUAAAAGACACUGUAGAAGUUUAUAUAUUUUUAAAUAAAUUUUCUAUCAAGCUUUUUAGUUGGGGCGACUAAGGAACAAAAAAAGCUUCUUAUAAUAAAUAAACAAUCAGGUUUUGAUCCGGUAAUAGCCGAUCUAGGGAAUUAGUUACCGCAGGGAUAACAGCAUAAUCUCUCUUGAGAGACCUAAUCGAAAGAGGGGGUUGUGACCUCGAUGUUGGACUAGAAUAUCCUAAAGAUGCAGAAGUCUUUAAGGGUCGGUCUGUUCGACCGUUAAAAUUUUACGUGAUC
Molecule: ribosomal RNA, 518 nt
Filed under: Leptoxis praerosa
Lineage: Eukaryota; Metazoa; Mollusca; Gastropoda; Pleuroceridae
Description: partial 16S ribosomal RNA
Rfam family: Bacterial large subunit ribosomal RNA
Source: RNAcentral